CAAUAGCGUAUAUUAAAGUUGUUGCAGUUAGAACGCUCGUAGUCGGAUUUCGGGGCGGGGCGACCGGUCUGCCGAUGGGUAUGCACUGGUCGGCGCGUCCUUCCUUCCGGAGACCGUGCCUACUCUUAACUGAGCGGGCACGGGAGACGGAUCGUUUACUUUGAAAAAAUCAGAGUGUUUCAAGCAGGCAGCUCGCCCUUGCAUGGAUUAGCAUGGGAUAAUGAAAUAGGACUUUGGUGCUAUUUUGUUGGUUUCGAACACCGAAGUAAUGAUUAACAGGGACAGUCAGGGGCACUCGUAUUCCGCCGAGAGAGGUGAAAUUCUCAGACCAGCGGAAGACGAACUACUGCGAAAGCAUUUGCCAGGGAUGUUUUCACUGA
RNAcentral lists this ribosomal RNA (380 nucleotides) under uncultured eukaryote. Its description in RNAcentral is "partial 18S ribosomal RNA". It matches the Rfam family "Eukaryotic small subunit ribosomal RNA", at positions 592 to 976 of the family's 1831-position model. The record is from RNAcentral.